UGGUGCAAAAAUGUCCUCCGUCUACUUAUUGGGCCUGAAAUGCCCUUGAUGUCUACCUAUUAGUCUACUUUGCCCUUUAUUUUAACAGAUUAAUUUAACCUCAAUUCAUUAAUGACGUGACUUCUUCUAAUUAGCCAACUAAUAAUUAAUUAAAUUAAUUAAUAACCCAAACCCAUUAAAUCUGACCCACAACCCAUCCAAACCUAAUAAUCCGACCCGUUAAUACGCCAAACCUAAUAAUCUGACCCACUCCAUCCAACCCUUAUAAUAACGUUAAAAAAAAAUAAAUAAAAAAAAAAACUCAAAUCAGGCAACUCUUUUCUUCAAUUUUUCUCUUUUUCUUCUGCGCCUUUUCGCAAUGAAAGUACAGCAACUUUGAGUAAAAAGAGCCUCAUCUCUUCAAAUGGGCUAAAAGAAUUCUCAAGAUCGAAGAAUGCACCAGUCAAGGUAUGCAAAAUUAAUAUACACUGAUUAUAGGAAGUCUUCCAUUUUUGUUGUGUGCUUAGCAUUUGAUUAGUUAAAUCAAGGU
This 529-nucleotide long non-coding RNA is filed under the name Capsicum annuum. Its description in RNAcentral is "long non-coding RNA (CANN_LNC006064)". The record is from RNAcentral. Lineage: Eukaryota; Viridiplantae; Streptophyta; Magnoliopsida; Solanales; Solanaceae.